RNAcentral lists this ribosomal RNA (1441 nucleotides) under Klebsiella variicola. Its description in RNAcentral is "bacterial SSU rRNA". It matches the Rfam family "Bacterial small subunit ribosomal RNA". Lineage: Bacteria; Pseudomonadati; Pseudomonadota; Gammaproteobacteria; Enterobacterales; Enterobacteriaceae. The record is from RNAcentral.
GCGCAUUGCGCAGUCUACACAUGCAGUCGAGCGGUAGCACAGAGAGCUUGCUCUCGGGUGACGAGCGGCGGACGGGUGAGUAAUGUCUGGGAAACUGCCUGAUGGAGGGGGAUAACUACUGGAAACGGUAGCUAAUACCGCAUAAUGUCGCAAGACCAAAGUGGGGGACCUUCGGGCCUCAUGCCAUCAGAUGUGCCCAGAUGGGAUUAGCUAGUAGGUGGGGUAACGGCUCACCUAGGCGACGAUCCCUAGCUGGUCUGAGAGGAUGACCAGCCACACUGGAACUGAGACACGGUCCAGACUCCUACGGGAGGCAGCAGUGGGGAAUAUUGCACAAUGGGCGCAAGCCUGAUGCAGCCAUGCCGCGUGUGUGAAGAAGGCCUUCGGGUUGUAAAGCACUUUCAGCGGGGAGGAAGGCGGUGAGGUUAAUAACCUUAUCGAUUGACGUUACCCGCAGAAGAAGCACCGGCUAACUCCGUGCCAGCAGCCGCGGUAAUACGGAGGGUGCAAGCGUUAAUCGGAAUUACUGGGCGUAAAGCGCACGCAGGCGGUCUGUCAAGUCGGAUGUGAAAUCCCCGGGCUCAACCUGGGAACUGCAUUCGAAACUGGCAGGCUAGAGUCUUGUAGAGGGGGGUAGAAUUCCAGGUGUAGCGGUGAAAUGCGUAGAGAUCUGGAGGAAUACCGGUGGCGAAGGCGGCCCCCUGGACAAAGACUGACGCUCAUGUGCGAAAGCGUGGGGAGCAAACAGGAUUAGAUACCCUGGUAGUCCACGCUGUAAACGAUGUCGAUUUGGAGGUUGUGCCCUUGAGGCGUGGCUUCCGGAGCUAACGCGUUAAAUCGACCGCCUGGGGAGUACGGCCGCAAGGUUAAAACUCAAAUGAAUUGACGGGGGCCCGCACAAGCGGUGGAGCAUGUGGUUUAAUUCGAUGCAACGCGAAGAACCUUACCUGGUCUUGACAUCCACAGAACUUUGCAGAGAUGGUUUGGUGCCUUCGGGAACUGUGAGACAGGUGCUGCAUGGCUGUCGUCAGCUCGUGUUGUGAAAUGUUGGGUUAAGUCCCGCAACGAGCGCAACCCUUAUCCUUUGUUGCCAGCGGUUAGGCCGGGAACUCAAAGGAGACUGCCAGUGAUAAACUGGAGGAAGGUGGGGAUGACGUCAAGUCAUCAUGGCCCUUACGACCAGGGCUACACACGUGCUACAAUGGCAUAUACAAAGAGAAGCGACCUCGCGAGAGCAAGCGGACCUCAUAAAGUAUGUCGUAGUCCGGAUUGGAGUCUGCAACUCGACUCCAUGAAGUCGGAAUCGCUAGUAAUCGUAGAUCAGAAUGCUACGGUGAAUACGUUCCCGGGCCUUGUACACACCGCCCGUCACACCAUGGGAGUGGGUUGCAAAAGAAGUAGGUAGCUUAACCUCGGAGGGCGCUACCAGCUUGAGGCCCCC